GAUGAACGCUGGCGGCGUGCCUAAUACAUGCAAGUCGAGCGAACGGACGAGAAGCUUGCUUCUCUGAUGUUAGCGGCGGACGGGUGAGUAACACGUGGAUAACCUACCUAUAAGACUGGGAUAACUUCGGGAAACCGGAGCUAAUACCGGAUAAUAUUUUGAACCGCAUGGUUCAAAAGUGAAAGACGGUCUUGCUGUCACUUAUAGAUGGAUCCGCGCUGCAUUAGCUAGUUGGUAAGGUAACGGCUUACCAAGGCAACGAUGCAUAGCCGACCUGAGAGGGUGAUCGGCCACACUGGAACUGAGACACGGUCCAGACUCCUACGGGAGGCAGCAGGAGGGAAUCUUGCGCAAUGGGCGAAAGCCUGACGGAGCAACGCCGCGGGAGUGAUGAAGGUCUUCGGAUCGUAAAACUCUGUUAUUAGGGAAGAACAUAUGUGUAAGUAACUGUGCACAUCUUGACGUUACCUAAGCAGAAAGCCACGGCUAACUACGU
This 496-nucleotide ribosomal RNA is filed under the name uncultured bacterium. RNAcentral describes it as "partial 16S ribosomal RNA". It matches the Rfam family "Bacterial small subunit ribosomal RNA", at positions 28 to 506 of the family's 1533-position model. The record is from RNAcentral.